Molecule: transfer RNA, 47 nt
Filed under: Rhynchocyon cirnei (checkered elephant shrew)
Lineage: Eukaryota; Metazoa; Chordata; Mammalia; Macroscelidea; Macroscelididae
Description: partial tRNA-Ile
Source: RNAcentral
AGAAAUAUGUCUGACAAAAGAGUUACUUUGAUAGAGUAAAUAAUAGA